RNAcentral lists this RNase P RNA (361 nucleotides) under bovine gut metagenome. RNAcentral describes it as "Bacterial RNase P class A". It matches the Rfam family "Bacterial RNase P class A". Rfam says of the family: Ribonuclease P (RNase P) is a ubiquitous endoribonuclease, found in archaea, bacteria and eukarya as well as chloroplasts and mitochondria. The record is from RNAcentral.
GAGUAGGUUGGGCGGUCGCGCAAAAGGCGCCGACAAUGCGCCGGAGUGAGGAAAGUCCGAGCUUCACAGAGCAGGAUAACGGAUAACGUCCGCCGGGGGUGACCUCCGGGAGAGUGCAACAGAGAUAUACCGCCGUGAAAAUUCACGGUAAGGGUGGAAAGGCGAGGUAAGAGCUCACCGGGUGCUGUGGUAACACGGCACUCCUGUAAACCCUAUCCGAAGCAACGCAAUGCGGAGAAGCGUUUUAAAUGCGGAGCUUGCUCGGCUCCGAUUCCGUAAGCGGCAGAAAGCUUUGCGGCAACGCAAGGAUAAGAUAGAUGACCGUCUUAAAUGACAGAACUCGGCUUACAGACCUACUCAU